GUGUGUGUAAUUUAAAAAAAAUAUCAAGUUGUGACCCUGAAAAUAGAUAUCACCUCGCACACC
This 63-nucleotide transfer RNA is filed under the name Protobothrops mangshanensis. Its description in RNAcentral is "tRNA-His". Lineage: Eukaryota; Metazoa; Chordata; Lepidosauria; Squamata; Viperidae. The record is from RNAcentral. RNAcentral also lists the same sequence under 4 other names.